CUACACGACCAGCUCCCUCCCAAUCCCCCAGGUCCUGACCGAAGCAAGGGCAAGAGGUUGAGCGGUGCGAUGUAGCAA
This 78-nucleotide signal recognition particle RNA is filed under the name Prevotella sp. CAG:873. Its description in RNAcentral is "Bacteroidales small SRP". It matches the Rfam family "Bacteroidales small SRP", at positions 17 to 95 of the family's 107-position model. From Rfam's summary of the family: The non-coding component of the signal recognition particle in Bacteroides Lineage: Bacteria; Pseudomonadati; Bacteroidota; Bacteroidia; Bacteroidales; Prevotellaceae. The record is from Rfam by way of RNAcentral.